CAAGUGGGAGUACUCCUUCUAAGCUAAAUAUCACCACGAGACCGAUAGCGAACAAGUACCGUGAGGGAAAGUUGAAAAGCACUCUGAAUAGAGAGUCAAAAAGUACGUGAAACUGCCUAGGGCUCAAGCCCGUUGAACUCGAUUAUCCGAGCGGAGACAUUCACCUGCGGUCGGCCGGUCGCGGCCCGCCGCAGGGCACUUGUCUCUCGCGUCCCCAGAAGGACAUUGCGAUCCAUUACGAAACAGCUUUCGCGGUCCGCAAGGACCGCAAGGUCGCCCGACAGUUGCCCCUUGGUGCCGGUUGCUUGCCCCACAGUAGCGACGCUCAGUUCUGAAGGCCUGUGCCGCGAGCUGGGGCUUACCGCACGUGGUGUUUGCAGUCGGGCGCGUGAUGGAUUCCCGCGUACACCGUCGGCCUUCCCGCAACGGGCCGGCGGACUGUCGAUCGGCAAUGAUAAAAUCGAGGUACCUCCGGGACCCGUCUUGAAACACGGACAAGAAAAUUCAC
Molecule: ribosomal RNA, 508 nt
Filed under: Phagomyia prominens
Lineage: Eukaryota; Metazoa; Arthropoda; Insecta; Diptera; Culicidae
Description: eukaryotic LSU rRNA
Rfam family: Eukaryotic large subunit ribosomal RNA
Source: RNAcentral